AUCAUUGUUUCCUUCUAUAACUUGAAAAGGUGCGUCGUUUUGCAAACCCUUAUAACCCUCAAACACGCCAUUUCACUGCACCACUAAAUCACGCCUCAAAUUUUUUCGUGUCUCUCUCAAGAUUUACUGUUCAUCUUUUGCUUCCCUGCUACGUAACCCUGCAAAACUUCGUUCCAUCUCAAAUGGCUACUUCACAAUCUCAAGCUGGCGACUC
This 214-nucleotide long non-coding RNA is filed under the name Olea europaea (common olive). RNAcentral's name for it is "long non-coding RNA (OEUR_LNC013667)". The record is from RNAcentral. Lineage: Eukaryota; Viridiplantae; Streptophyta; Magnoliopsida; Lamiales; Oleaceae.